This 465-nucleotide ribosomal RNA is filed under the name Lygodactylus bonsi. RNAcentral's name for it is "partial large subunit ribosomal RNA". It matches the Rfam family "Bacterial large subunit ribosomal RNA", at positions 1850 to 2550 of the family's 2925-position model. Lineage: Eukaryota; Metazoa; Chordata; Lepidosauria; Squamata; Gekkonidae. The record is from RNAcentral.
AGGUCCCACCUGCCCAGUGAAAAUUUUUUAACGGCCGCGGUAUUCUAACCGUGCAAAGGUAGCGUAAUCACUUGCCCCUUAAAUGAGGGCUAGUAUGAACGGUUUAAUGAGGGCAUAACUGUCUCCUGUGGCCUAUCAAUGAAAUUGAUAACUCAGUACAAACGCUGAGAUAUUUUCAUAAGACGAGAAGACCCUGUGGAACUUCAAAUUACUGCUGGCGAACCAUAAACACAAAACAGCCUACCCAGCAUAAAUUUUAAGUUGGGGCAACUACGGAGUAAAAUAGAACCUCCACGAAAUAUGAUUAACAAUCAUUCCUAGGCACACAUGCCGCCUAACAACAAAUUUGAUCCAGUACUACUGAUACCCGGACCAAGCUACCCCAGGGAUAACAGCGCAAUCCCCUUCAAGAGUCCAUAUCGCCAAGGGGGUUUACGACCUCGAUGUUGGAUCAGGACACCCAGG